Molecule: ribosomal RNA, 87 nt
Filed under: Lactuca dissecta
Lineage: Eukaryota; Viridiplantae; Streptophyta; Magnoliopsida; Asterales; Asteraceae
Description: partial 5.8S ribosomal RNA
Rfam family: 5.8S ribosomal RNA
About the family: 5.8S ribosomal RNA (5.8S rRNA) is a component of the large subunit of the eukaryotic ribosome. It is transcribed by RNA polymerase I as part of the 45S precursor that also contains 18S and 28S rRNA. Functionally, it is thought that 5.8S rRNA may be involved in ribosome translocation.
Source: RNAcentral
UGCAGAAUCCCGUGAACCAUCGAGUUUUUGAACGCAAGUUGCGCCCGAAGCCAUCCGGUCGAGGGCACGCCUGCCUGGGCGUCACGC